CAGCAGCCACGGGAAUACGUAGGGUGCGAGCGUUAAUCGGAAUUACUGGGCGUAAAGCGUGCGCAGGCGGUUUGUUAAGACAGAUGUGAAAUCCCCGGGCUUAACCUGGGAACUGCAUUUGUGACUGGCCGGCUAGAGUAUGGCAGAGGGAGGUGGAAUUCCACGUGUAGCAGUGAAAUGCGUAGAUAUGUGGAGGAAUACCGAUGGCGGAGGCAGCCCCCUGGGCCAAUACUGACGCUCAUGCACGAAAGCGUGGGGAGCAAACAGGAUUAGAUACCCCUGUAGUCCCUGUCUCUUAUAC
RNAcentral lists this ribosomal RNA (301 nucleotides) under uncultured bacterium. RNAcentral's name for it is "partial 16S ribosomal RNA". It matches the Rfam family "Bacterial small subunit ribosomal RNA", at positions 509 to 807 of the family's 1533-position model. The record is from RNAcentral.